GCAGCUGCACACGCGUCCGGCCUCUAUGGGUAUCCACACGAAGUCCUUGUGCUAAUCGAUCUCUCUGAGAGUGCUAGCUCACGAAGACACCAUCCAUUGGCUAAUUUGAGAAGAACAUGAUAAAAUUAAAGAAUAAGGAGACCCUCUCCUUUUUCUUUCUAAAUCCAUGCAUCUGAUCUCUAUAAUAAAGAUCAAGAGAAGAACCCUUCCU
RNAcentral lists this long non-coding RNA (211 nucleotides) under Elaeis guineensis (African oil palm). RNAcentral describes it as "long non-coding RNA (EGUI_LNC042746)". The record is from RNAcentral. Lineage: Eukaryota; Viridiplantae; Streptophyta; Magnoliopsida; Arecales; Arecaceae.